This 280-nucleotide ribosomal RNA is filed under the name Catenibacterium mitsuokai DSM 15897. Its description in RNAcentral is "partial 16S ribosomal RNA". It matches the Rfam family "Bacterial small subunit ribosomal RNA", at positions 496 to 776 of the family's 1533-position model. The record is from RNAcentral. Lineage: Bacteria; Bacillati; Bacillota; Erysipelotrichia; Erysipelotrichales; Coprobacillaceae.
UAUGGUUGUGUGCCAGCAGCCGCGGUAAUACGUAGGUGGCGAGCGUUAUCCGGAAUCAUUGGGCGUAAAGAGGGAGCAGGCGGCCGCAAGGGUCUGUGGUGAAAGACCGAAGCUAAACUUCGGUAAGCCAUGGAAACCGGGCGGCUAGAGUGCGGAAGAGGAUCGUGGAAUUCCAUGUGUAGCGGUGAAAUGCGUAGAUAUAUGGAGGAACACCAGUGGCGAAGGCGACGGUCUGGGCCGCAACUGACGCUCAUUCCCGAAAGCGUGGGGAGCAAAUAGG